AUUGAACGCUGGCGGCAUGCUUUACACAUGCAAGUCGAACGGCAGCGCGGGCUUCGGCCUGGCGGCGAGUGGCGAACGGGUGAGUAAUACAUCGGAACGUGCCCAGUAGUGGGGGAUAGCUCGGCGAAAGCCGGAUUAAUACCGCAUACGACCUGAGGGUGAAAGCGGGGGAUCUUCGGACCUCGCGCUAUUGGAGCGGCCGAUGGCAGAUUAGCUAGUUGGUGGGGUAAAGGCCUACCAAGGCGACGAUCUGUAGCUGGUCUGGGACGACCAGCCACACUGGGACUGAGACACGGCCCAGACUCCUACGGGAGGCAGCAGUGGGGAAUUUUGGACAAUGGGCGAAAGCCUGAUCCAGCAAUGCCGCGUGUGUGAUGAAGGCCUUCGGGUUGUAAAGCACUUUUGGCGGGAACGAAAAGGACUGUGCCAAUACCACGGUUCGAUGACGGUACCCGCAGAAUAAGCACCGGCUAACUACGUG
Molecule: ribosomal RNA, 481 nt
Filed under: uncultured bacterium
Lineage: Bacteria
Description: partial 16S ribosomal RNA
Rfam family: Bacterial small subunit ribosomal RNA
Source: RNAcentral